Molecule: ribosomal RNA, 430 nt
Filed under: bacterium
Lineage: Bacteria
Description: partial 16S ribosomal RNA
Rfam family: Bacterial small subunit ribosomal RNA
Source: RNAcentral
UGGGGAAUAUUGGACAAUGGGCGCAAGCCUGAUCCAGCCAUGCCGCGUGUGUGAAGAAGGCCUUUUGGUUGUAAAGCACUUUAAGCGAGGAGGAGGCUACUUGGAUUAAUACUCUAGGAUAGUGGACGUUACUCGCAGAAUAAGCACCGGCUAACUCUGUGCCAGCAGCCGCGGUAAUACAGAGGGUGCGAGCGUUAAUCGGAUUUACGGGGCGUAAAGCGUGCGUAGGCGGCUUCUUAAGUCGGAUGUGAAAUCCCUGAGCUUAACUUAGGAAUUGCAUUCGAUACUGGGAAGCUAGAGUAUGGGAGAGGAUGGUAGAAUUCCAGGUGUAGCGGUGAAAUGCGUAGAGAUCUGGAGGAAUACCGAUGGCGAAGGCAGCCAUCUGGCCUAAUACUGACGCUGAGGUACGAAAGCAUGGGGAGCAAACAGG